GGGAUUUCAUCAUGUUCCGGGGAUAGUGGAGGCCAAAGUUGAAAACAUAAAGGAGGUAUGGGAUGUACUCCAGACUGGGAGUAAUGCUAGAGCUGUUGGAUCGAACAACGUGAAUGAGCAUAGUAGUCGUUCUCACUGCAUGUUGUGUAUAGUGGUAACUGCAAAGAACUUGAUGAAUGGGGACUGCACCAAAAGCAAGCUUUG
This 204-nucleotide unclassified non-coding RNA is filed under the name Hevea brasiliensis (rubber tree). The record is from RNAcentral. Lineage: Eukaryota; Viridiplantae; Streptophyta; Magnoliopsida; Malpighiales; Euphorbiaceae.